Molecule: ribosomal RNA, 492 nt
Filed under: uncultured bacterium
Lineage: Bacteria
Description: partial 16S ribosomal RNA
Rfam family: Bacterial small subunit ribosomal RNA
Source: RNAcentral
AGUGAACGCUGGCGGUAGGCCUAACACAUGCAAGUCGAACGGCAGCACCGUACGAGCUUGCUCUUAUGGGUGGCGAGUGGCGGACGGGUGAGGAAUACAUCGGAAUCUACUUUUUCGUGGGGGAUAACGUAGGGAAACUUACGCUAAUACCGCAUACGCCCUACGGGUGAAAGCAGGGGAUCUUUGGACCUUGCGCGAUUGAAUGAGCCGAUGUGGGAUUAGCUAGUUGGCGGGGUAAAGGCCCACCAAGGCGACGAUCCGUAGCUGGUCUGAGAGGAUGAUCAGCGACACUGGAAGUGGGACACGGUCCAGACUACUACGGGAGGCAGCAGUGUGGAAUAUUGGACAGUGGUCGCAAGCCUGAUCCAACCAUACCGAGUGUGUGAAGGAGGCCUUCGGGUUGUAAAGCCGUUUUGUUGGGAAAGAAAAGCAGCAGGUUAAGACCCCGCUGGUCUGACGGUACCCAAAGAAUAAGCACCGGCUAACUUCGUG